UUAAAAAUAUGGAUAUGAUUUGGUUUGGUUUUAGUUUACAUAAAAUGAUUAUGAUGGUUUUAGUUUACAUAAAAUGAUUAAUUGAAAGAAAUUAAUUACUUGAAAUCGUAAGGACGGCUGUAUGUAAUUGAGAGCUUGUAAAUGAAAGAAGCAGUAAUUAGGAGUAUUAUUGAUAGUAGUAUGAUUUGAUUGUAGAGUGUUGCAACUUGAUUUUAAGAAAUGACACGAGUGAAUAAUAAUAAUAAUAAUAGCCCAUUCCAUUCCAUUCAAUUCAAUUCAAGCUACUGCCUAAUCCUGCCUGCAGUAUGUAUGUAUGGAUACAUUAUUA
This 328-nucleotide long non-coding RNA is filed under the name Panax ginseng (ginseng). RNAcentral describes it as "long non-coding RNA (PGIN_LNC017853)". The record is from RNAcentral. Lineage: Eukaryota; Viridiplantae; Streptophyta; Magnoliopsida; Apiales; Araliaceae.